Molecule: long non-coding RNA, 891 nt
Organism: Malania oleifera
Lineage: Eukaryota; Viridiplantae; Streptophyta; Magnoliopsida; Santalales; Ximeniaceae
Exons: 3
Source: RefSeq, a predicted model, not a curated record
AAUCUGGUGAAGGAAGAAAAAACUAAUUAACUAACUAACAAAAAAUACAAGCAGAUUUUCUGUUGAUGCUUACGAAUUUAACUGAUGAAGCUGUUUGGUGACUUUUCUGUUGGCUGCUGCUGUUGUUAAACUGAGGCUGGCUUUUCAUAUCAUCACCUGCACUUCCCUCUUCUCUCUUUCCUCUUUCCUCUUCGAUUGUUACCUCUUCCUGCUUCUCUUUUCGAUCAGCUGCAGAUCGAAUCCGCCGAUCUCUUUGCCCGGCUUCUUCGACUAGCUCCCUCUCCCAUAUACGCCGUUCGUCCACCCUUCUCCUCUUUGAUGUUCAUUGAGCAAUACCAUUUUGGUUCAGCAAAUACACGCGUGCAAGUAAGUUGAAUUGAAUUCCCUUUGUUCUGUGGGAUUAAUGAAUGUGAAGUGAAUGGACAAGAGUUCAAAUCUGCCUAUAAUGAAUGGGAGAGUACCCCAGCCAUGGGAAUCUGAGGUGUUGCAACAACCAUUGAUGUUGUCAAAGCCUGCAAAGGUUAAUGUCACAGUUAUGCUUGGCGGAUUCCCUUGAAAAGAAGGGAUUGGGAGGAAGCAUAAUGCCCAAAAAAAUAUCGAUUUACAAGGCCCUACCUUUGGCUUUGCCGCUGCAUGCACACCACUGAAAAUUGCAAGGUGAGGUUGCCCUUAAAGAGUCGUGUGAAUUGCUCAUAUACAAUUAAUUGUGCUCAUUUUUUUAUUUCGCAUUGAAGUUGCCUUUAAAGAGUAAUGUGAAUUGUUCAUAUGCAAUUAGUUCUCGCCCAUUUUUUAUUUCGCAUUUUCCAUAAGUAGGAGAAACAUAAUUAAGUUUGUUUUAUUACUUUUCGAGAUAAAAUAAAGAGAGUUAUGAGAAUGUUAAUUUUUGAGAAA